AGGACUUCCAGUACUAUGUUGAAAAGGAGUGGUGAGAGUGGGCAUCCUUGUUUUAUUACAGUUCUCAAGGGGAAUGCUUCCAGCUUUUGUUCAUUUGGUAUGAUGUUGGCUAUGGAUUUGUCAUUAUUAUUUUGAGCACUGUCUCUCAUCUGAAUGACGGCAAUCACCUCCUAACUCCACUCCUGUAUCUCCACAGUCAGUUCUCUGCCCAGCAACCGCCAUGGUGUGUAACAAAUGAAACUGAUCCCAGUACUCUGUGUUCCAUCCAUCAGUGGCUUCCUCUUGUUCAUAGAAUAAAGGAUGAAACCUGAAAUACUUCUUCAAACUUCUCCAGGAUCUACUCACAAAAAUCCUCUGGCACAGCUCUCUUCUUCUAUCAUUUGGCUGCAUUUCUACUUGCCUAUUUUUCAUACUCGGAACAAUCAUGCUUUUUGUAGAGCCAGGGCCCUCACAUGUGUUGCUCAGGUCUUUAGUCAGCAAACUCUUCUUCCUUAAUCUAGUGGUUAAAAGCCCCAGCUCUGGAGUCAAACUGACAGGGGCUGGGUGACUAAAGACAGUCUUCUGGCCAGGCAUGGUGGCUCACAUCUGUAAUCCCAGCACACAGCCUCCCAGGAGGAUCACCUGAGCCCAGGAGUUUGAGACCAGUCUGGGCAACGAAGCAAGACCUAUUUGCCAAAAAAGAAAAAGAAAAAAGGCCGGGCAUGGUGGCUCACGCCUAUAAUCUCAGCACUUUGGGAGGCCGAGGCGGGCAGAUCUUGAGGUCAAGAGAUCGAGACCAUCCUGGCCAACAUGGUGAAACCUCAUCUCUACUAAAAAUACAAACAUUAGCUGGGCUUGGUGGUGUGCAUCUAUAGUCCCAGCUACUUGGGAGGCUGAACCAGGAGAAUUGCUUGAACCCGGGAGGGAGAGGUUACCGUGAGCCAAGAUCGCGCCACUGCACUCCAGCCUGGUGACAGAACAAGACUGUCUCCAAAAAUAAAAAAAAGACAAUCUCCUUAGUAAAACUAUGUACCUUACUUUAAUCAUCUGUAAAAUGGGGAUAAGAACAGUAGCCACCUCACAUAGUGGUGAAUAUUCAAUAAAACAAAAUGUGUGAAGCACUGAAACUACUACCUGGCAGAAGAAAAACACUCAGUAAACAUUAUUGUCAAAAAUCCCUAUCAUCCUUUAGUUCUCAUCUUAAAUGUUUCUGCUUAAAGCACUCUCCAUUACUCUAACCCUCAGUUUUAAUCCAUUUUAUUUCCUAGUACUAAUCUAAAUUGGUCAUCAAAUAUUGAUUUUGAGACUUAUUGUCCAUUUCUGCCUCUCAAAUUACACUCUACAGAACAGGGACUUUGUCUGUGUUUCCUUCAGUCCUGGAAACCUGGCAGAGGAGCUGAGGAACUGAGCUUUACAGGCUGAGUUCUGUGACCCUGUGAUUAUUAUGUUGAAGCCCUCAUCCCCAGUACCUCUCAAUGUGACUUUAAUUGGAGGCAGGGGCUUUAAAGAGGAAAGUAAGUUAAAGUGAGACCAUCAAGUUAAAAUUAUGCCCUAAUUCAGUCUGUCUGGUGUAUGUAUAAGAAGAGAGGGAAUUUGGAUACACAAAGAGAAACCAGGGGUGUGCAUUCGAGAGAAAAGAUUGUGUGAAGAUAGAGCAAGAAGGUGGCUAGCUGGAUGCUCACAAGAGGGGCCUCAGGGGAAAUCAACUCUGCUGACACCUUGGUCUUUGGCUUCCAGCCUCCAGAACGGUGAGAAAAUAAAUGUCUUUUGUUUACACCACCUAAUCUGUAGCAUUUUUGUUAUAUCUACCAUAAAAACUAAUGCAGUCAGUAAAGACUGAUGAGUGAAUGGAUGAAUGUGUCA
Molecule: long non-coding RNA, 1842 nt
Filed under: Homo sapiens (human)
Lineage: Eukaryota; Metazoa; Chordata; Mammalia; Primates; Hominidae
Description: HSALNT0312044
Source: RNAcentral